Molecule: ribosomal RNA, 321 nt
Filed under: uncultured eukaryote
Lineage: Eukaryota
Description: partial 18S ribosomal RNA
Rfam family: Eukaryotic small subunit ribosomal RNA
Source: RNAcentral
CCCUUAGAUGUUCUGGGCUGCACGCGCGCUACACUGAAGCGUUCAACGAGUAUUCACCUUGCCCGGGAGGGUUGGGUAAUCUUUUGAAAACGCUUCGUGAUGGGGAUAGAUUAUUGCAAUUAUUAAUCUUCAACGAGGAAUUCCUAGUAAGCGCGAGUCAUCAGCUCGUGCUGAUUACGUCCCUGCCCUUUGUACACACCGCCCGUCGCUCCUACCGAUUGAAUGGUCCGGUGAAAUCUCGGGACGGCGGCUUGGUCGCUUGCGUCCGACUGCUGAAACUUGAUUAAACCAUAUCAUUUAGAGGAAGGUGAANUCGUAACA